RNAcentral lists this ribosomal RNA (448 nucleotides) under uncultured bacterium. RNAcentral's name for it is "partial 16S ribosomal RNA". It matches the Rfam family "Bacterial small subunit ribosomal RNA", at positions 29 to 523 of the family's 1533-position model. The record is from RNAcentral.
AGCGAACGCUGGCGGCAGGCUUAACACAUGCAAGUCGAACGGUCCUUCGGGAUAGUGGCGGACGGGUGAGUAACACGUGGGAACGUACCCUUAGGUUCGGAACAACACAGGGAAACUUGUGCUAAUACCGGAUAAGCCCUUCGGGGGAAAGAUUUAUCGCCUUUGGAGCGGCCCGCGUCUGAUUAGCUUGUUGGUGAGGUAAUGGCUCACCAAGGCUACGAUCAGUAGCUGGUCUGAGAGGAUGGCCAGCCACACUGGGAUCUGAGACACGGCCCAGACUCCUACGGGGGGCAGCAGUGGGGAAUCUUGCGCAAUGGGCGAAAGCCUGACGCAGCCAUGCCGCGUGGAUGAUGAAGGUCUUAGGAUUGUAAAAUCCUUUCACCGGGGACGAUAAUGACGGUACCCGGAGAAGAAGCCCCGGCUAACUUCGUGCCAGCCGCCGCUGUAA